This 256-nucleotide ribosomal RNA is filed under the name uncultured bacterium. Its description in RNAcentral is "partial 16S ribosomal RNA". It matches the Rfam family "Bacterial small subunit ribosomal RNA", at positions 524 to 776 of the family's 1533-position model. The record is from RNAcentral.
UACAGAGGUCCCAAGCGUUGUUCGGAUUCACUGGGCGUAAAGGGUGCGUAGGCGGUCGGGGUAAGUCUGAUGUGAAAUCUCACAGCUUAACUGUGAAACUGCAUUGGAUACUAUCCGGCUCGAGGAAUGGAGGGGGAGACUGGAAUACUUGGUGUAGCAGUGAAAUGCGUAGAUAUCAAGUGGAACACCAGUGGCGAAGGCGAGUCUCUGGACAUUUCCUGACGCUGAGGCACGAAAGCCAGGGGGAGCAAACGGG